This 253-nucleotide ribosomal RNA is filed under the name uncultured bacterium. RNAcentral describes it as "partial 16S ribosomal RNA". It matches the Rfam family "Bacterial small subunit ribosomal RNA", at positions 524 to 776 of the family's 1533-position model. The record is from RNAcentral.
UACGGAGGGUGCGAGCGUUAAUCGGAAUUACUGGGCGUAAAGCGCGCGUAGGCGGAGCGAACAGUCCGGCCUGAAAGCCCCCGGCUCAACCGGGGAGAGUGGCUGGAAACUGCCGUUCUUGAGGGCGAGAGAGGAGGGUGGAAUUCCUGGUGUAGCGGUGAAAUGCGUAGAUAUCUGGAGGAACACCGGUGGCGAAGGCGGCAUCCUGGACCAAUACUGACACUGAGGAGCGAAAGCCAGGGGAGCAAACGGG